AAGUCGUAACAAGGUUUCCGUAGGUGAACCUGCGGAAGGAUCAUCAUCGAAUUCAUAUCCCCCUCCUCAACCGGAGGGGGACCCAUGAUAAACCCUUCUGUGCACCGUAAACCGUUCACUUUGGCAGGCUUUGGUGGUGAGCGUGAGCUCGCCUCCAACCUCGCGUUCCCUCCCUAGGGGUGUUACGCGUGGCGGCCUGCCGGAGUCCCAUUAAAAAACUCGUUUUCGAACACGUCUGAAAAUUUCCUUUGAGAAAUCAAAGAACCGAAAACAACUUUCAACAACGGAUCUCUUGGCUCUCGCAUCGAUGAAGAACGCAGCGAGAUGCGAUAAGUAUUGUGAAUUGCAGAAUUCAGUGAAUCAUCGAAUCUUUGAACGCACAUUGCACUCCCUGGUAUUCCGGGGAGUACGUUCGUUCGAGCGUCAUGUAAAUUCUCGGAUGUCCGUAUCGCGCGGUUCAUUCCGGCCUUGGGCGCCUCCCGGUCCGCCGACUCCGGUGGGUCAGGUCGCCUGAAAUUAAAAAGCGACGGUUCGCGAAUCCGCGACCGGCCACGGCGUAUUACGUUGGGCCUGCCCGACAAACCUUCGCCUACGUUGCCAACGCAGCUCCGACGUCGCUAUCGCAGAAACGUUUGUUGUGACCUCCCUCUCCAGGGUUGACAUGACACACACUUCACUUGACCUCGAAUCGAAUGAGACUACCGGCCGAACUUAA
This 715-nucleotide ribosomal RNA is filed under the name uncultured fungus. Its description in RNAcentral is "eukaryotic LSU rRNA". The stretch from base 273 to 426 matches the Rfam family "5.8S ribosomal RNA". The record is from RNAcentral. Lineage: Eukaryota; Fungi.